ACUUUAUUUGAUUUCCUUCGGGACUGAUUAUUUUGUGACUGAGUGGCGGACGGGUGAGUAACGCGUGGGUAACCUGCCUUGUACAGGGGGAUAACAGUUGGAAACGGCUGCUAAUACCGCAUAAGCGCACGGCAUCGCAUGAUGCAGUGUGAAAAACUCCGGUGGUAUAAGAUGGACCCGCGUUGGAUUAGCUAGUUGGUGAGGUAACGGCCCACCAAGGCGACGAUCCAUAGCCGACCUGAGAGGGUGACCGGCCACAUUGGGACUGAGACACGGCCCAAACUCCUACGGGAGGCAGCAGUGGGGAAUAUUGCACAAUGGGCGAAAGCCUGAUGCAGCGACGCCGCGUGAGCGAAGAAGUAUUUCGGUAUGUAAAGCUCUAUCAGCAGGGAAGAUAAUGACGGUACCUGACUAAGAAGCACCGGCUAAAUACGUGCCAGCAGCCGCGGUAAUACGUAUGGUGCAAGCGUUAUCCGGAUUUACUGGGUGUAAAGGGAGCGCAGGCGGUGCGGCAAGUCUGAUGUGAAAGCCCGGGGCUCAACCCCGGUACUGCAUUGGAAACUGUCGUACUAGAGUGUCGGAGGGGUAAGCGGAAUUCCUAGUGUAGCGGUGAAAUGCGUAGAUAUUAGGAGGAACACCAGUGGCGAAGGCGGCUUACUGGACGAUAACUGACGCUGAG
Molecule: ribosomal RNA, 679 nt
Filed under: uncultured Lachnospiraceae bacterium
Lineage: Bacteria; Bacillati; Bacillota; Clostridia; Lachnospirales; Lachnospiraceae
Description: bacterial SSU rRNA
Rfam family: Bacterial small subunit ribosomal RNA
Source: RNAcentral